CUUAGGGGCCCGAACUUCUCGCUACCUUGAGGAAGUCGAUUUUCUUCUGCCAGUGUUGGGUUCCCUCUUAGUGACUGAGGGUUUUUGACAAGAGUCUCCUUCCUCGUUGAGACGAGGUUUCUUGUGUCUUUGAUGUAGUUUGUUUUUUCCUUAUCACUGGCGUAGCUCGUCGCUUUCUCUUUUUCUCUUUUUUUUUUUGUGUUCGAGUGAGGAUUUUCCC
This 220-nucleotide long non-coding RNA is filed under the name Elaeis guineensis (African oil palm). RNAcentral's name for it is "long non-coding RNA (EGUI_LNC073450)". Lineage: Eukaryota; Viridiplantae; Streptophyta; Magnoliopsida; Arecales; Arecaceae. The record is from RNAcentral.